Molecule: long non-coding RNA, 988 nt
Filed under: Oncorhynchus kisutch (coho salmon)
Lineage: Eukaryota; Metazoa; Chordata; Actinopteri; Salmoniformes; Salmonidae
Description: lncRNA (ENSOKIG00005046020.1)
Source: RNAcentral
GAGACAUGGUGUCCAUGCAUCAGUUGUGUUCAUGGUAAUAUGUGUUUAUUUGUGUUGAUAGAUUACCGGUCUGGCUUAGGGGAUCAUGGCUACUCCAGAGAGACUCAGCGGCCUGCUGAGAUUCAGAAACUCCUUGUGGAAUUCCGGACCCUUUACCACGAGCGCCUUCGACGCAUUGACCAAUCGGAUGACAGCCGGGAGGAGGCUCUGCAGAGCAAGGUGGGCGUGCUACAGUCGUUUGUGCGGGACCUGAGUGAGCAGAAUGAGGUUCUGAUCCAGGCGCUGGAGGCUGAGGAGGCGGAGGGCCGGGCGGUGGAGGGGAGAACAGUCAGCUUACACAAAGAGCUGGAGCGGCGCCUAUCCUUGGCUCUGUGCCCGAUGCCAGUAGACCUCGCGGGAACCACGGCAACGUUCCUCCGGACCCCUGGAGAAAUGGCAGACCAUUACAGGGAUGCGCAGACACACCUGUCUACCCAGGAUGCUAUACUUCAGCAGCUCAAAGAGGCCUGUCUAUCUCAGCAGGAAGCCCAGGUUAAAGUGGAGGAGCGUGAAGCCCAGGUCCAGGAGCUGCAGGACACCAUCACAGAGCUGCACCUGGAGAUGACCAGGAAGGACCAGGACAAGCUGACACAGCUGCAGGAGCUCCACCAGCUGGAGAGCAGGGUGAAGCAGCUCACUGACCAGGUCAGGAGCUCUGAGGAGACCAUUGGCCAGCUGAGACAGGAGGUGGCUGUUAGAGUGGGCAUCAGCAGCGCAACCCUGUGUGGGGGCGUGAGUACAGCAGGGAAAGGGAGUACUACUGACCCGACAGGAUCCAGUCCAGUCCCACAUCUUACAGAACAGAGGGGCAGAGAACUGCUGAAGACUGAGGUAGUCACACCCAUCAAGUCAAUAGCUACUGUAAUGUAGCAAUAAUCACCCAAUAAAGUCCCAGUGUCCCCCACACAUGACCAAAAUGCAAUGUACACCAUGAAGUAUUCUAGUCUUU